RNAcentral lists this ribosomal RNA (897 nucleotides) under uncultured Gammaproteobacteria bacterium. RNAcentral describes it as "bacterial SSU rRNA". It matches the Rfam family "Bacterial small subunit ribosomal RNA", at positions 8 to 903 of the family's 1533-position model. The record is from RNAcentral. Lineage: Bacteria; Pseudomonadati; Pseudomonadota; Gammaproteobacteria.
AGGGUUUGAUCAUGGCUCAGAUUGAACGCUGGCGGCAGGCCUAACACAUGCAAGUCGAGCGAGAAAGGCCUUCGGGCUGAGUACAGCGGCGGACGGGUGAGUAACGCGUAGGAAUCUACCUGGUAGUGGGGGACAACUUGGGGAAACUCAAGCUAAUACCGCAUACGCCCUACGGGGGAAAGCGGGGGAUCUUCGGACCUCGCGCUAUCAGAUGAGCCUGCGUUGGAUUAGCUUGUUGGUGAGGUAAAAGCUCACCAAGGCGACGAUCCAUAGCUGGUCUGAGAGGAUGAUCAGCCACACUGGGACUGAGACACGGCUCAGACUCCUACGGGAGGCAGCAGUGGGGAAUAUUGCGCAAUGGGCGAAAGCCUGACGCAGCCAUGCCGCGUGUGUGAAGAAGGCCUUAGGGUUGUAAAGCACUUUCAAUUGGGAAGAAAGGUUGUACGUUAAUAGCGUGCAGCUGUGACAUUACCUUUAGAAGAAGCACCGGCUAACUCCGUGCCAGCAGCCGCGGUAAUACGGAGGGUGCGAGCGUUAAUCGGAAUUACUGGGCGUAAAGCGCGCGUAGGCGGUUUGUUAAGUCGGAUGUGAAAUCCCUGGCUCAACCUGGGAACUGCAUUCGAUACUGGCAAACUAGAGUAUGAGAGAGGGAGGUAGAAUUCCAUGUGUAGCGGUGAAAUGCGUAGAUAUGUGGAGGAAUACCGGUGGCGAACGCGGCCUCCUGGGCUCAAUACUGACGCUCAGGUGCGAAAGCGUGGGGAGCAAACAGGAUUAGAUACCCUGGUAGUCCACGCCGUAAACGAUGUCUACUAGCCGUUGGGAGACUUGAUUUCUUAGUGGCGCAGCUAACGCACUAAGUAGACCGCCUGGGGAGUACGGCCGCAAGGUUAAAACUCA